AGUGAACGCUGGCGGUAGGCCUAACACAUGCAAGUCGAACGGCAGCACAGUAAGAGCUUGCUCUUACGGGUGGCGAGUGGCGGACGGGUGAGGAAUACAUCGGAAUCUACUUUUUCGUGGGGGAUAACGUAGGGAAACUUACGCUAUUACCGCAUACAACUACCGGGUGAAAGCAGGGGAUCUUGGGCCUUUGGCGGAUUAAUUGAGCCGAUGUCGGAUUAGCUAGUUGGCGGGGUAAAGGCCCACCAAGGCGACGAUCCGUAGCUGGUCUGAGAGGAUGAUCAGCCACACUGGAACUGAGACACGGUCCAGACUCCUACGGGAGGCAGCAGUGGGGAAUAUUGGACAAUGGGCGCAAGCCUGAUCCAGCCAUACCGCGUGGGUGAAGAAGGCCUUCGGGUUGUAAAGCCCUUUUGUUGGGAAAGAAAAGCAGCAGGUUAAUACCCCGCUGUUCUGACGGUACCCAAAGAAUAAGCACCGGCUAACUUCGUG
Molecule: ribosomal RNA, 492 nt
Filed under: uncultured bacterium
Lineage: Bacteria
Description: partial 16S ribosomal RNA
Rfam family: Bacterial small subunit ribosomal RNA
Source: RNAcentral